Molecule: ribosomal RNA, 901 nt
Filed under: Flavobacterium sp. XB203
Lineage: Bacteria; Pseudomonadati; Bacteroidota; Flavobacteriia; Flavobacteriales; Flavobacteriaceae
Description: bacterial SSU rRNA
Rfam family: Bacterial small subunit ribosomal RNA
Source: RNAcentral
UCUUUAAUUUGAGACCGGCGCACGGGUGCGGAAGAGUAGGGAAUGUGCCUUCCACAGAGGGAUAGCCCAGAGAAAUCUGGAUUAAUACCUCAUAGCAUCAUGACCCGGCAUCGGGAUAUGAUUAAAGUCACAACGGUGGAAGAUGAGCAUGCGUCCCAUUAGCUAGUUGGUAAGGUAACGGCUUACCAAGGCUACGAUGGGUAGGGGUCCUGAGAGGGAGAUCCCCCACACUGGUACUGAGACACGGACCAGACUCCUACGGGAGGCAGCAGUGAGGAAUAUUGGUCAAUGGGCGCAAGCCUGAACCAGCCAUGCCGCGUGCAGGAUGACGGUCCUAUGGAUUGUAAACUGCUUUUGUACGGGAAGAAACCCUCCUACGUGUAGGAGCUUGACGGUACCGUAAGAAUAAGGAUCGGCUAACUCCGUGCCAGCAGCCGCGGUAAUACGGAGGAUCCAAGCGUUAUCCGGAAUCAUUGGGUUUAAAGGGUCUGUAGGCGGUCUUGUAAGUCAGUGGUGAAAGCCCAUCGCUCAACGGUGGAACGGCCAUUGAUACUGCUGGACUCGAAUUAUUGGGAAGCAACUAGAAUAUGUAGUGUAGCGGUGAAAUGCUUAGAGAUUACAUGGAAUACCAAUUGCGAAGGCAGGUUGCUACCAAUGGAUUGACGCUGAUGGACGAAAGCGUGGGUAGCGAACAGGAUUAGAUACCCUGGUAGUCCACGCCGUAAACGAUGGAUACUAGCUGUUGGGCGCAAGUUCAGUGGCUAAGCGAAAGUGAUAAGUAUCCCACCUGGGGAGUACGAACGCAAGUUUGAAACUCAAGGAAUUGACGGGGGCCCGCACAAGCGGUGGAGCAUGUGGUUUAAUUCGAUGAUACGCGAGGAACCUUACCACGCUUAAUGCA